RNAcentral lists this transfer RNA (71 nucleotides) under Perca flavescens (yellow perch). It matches the Rfam family "tRNA". Rfam says of the family: Transfer RNA (tRNA) molecules are approximately 80 nucleotides in length. Lineage: Eukaryota; Metazoa; Chordata; Actinopteri; Perciformes; Percidae. The record is from Rfam by way of RNAcentral.
GCAUUGGUGGUUCAGUAGUAGAAUUCUCGCCUGCCACGUGGGAGACGUGGGUCCGAUUCCCGGCCAAUGCA